ACCUCGGGGCCGCUCCUCGCGGUGCGCAUGCGCACAGCCGGCGGCCGCUCCGCGACAGCGGGAGUCCUCAGAGCUGCGUCAGCGGUCCGGGGCCUCGGGAGUUAUGCCGAACCUGAAUUUUUUCAUUGAAGUGCGCCCUACAAGGUUGGUUCUAUCUGAGAAGACUGAAACAUCACUCCAGUGCUCUCCAGCACAACUGGUAAAGCAAACAGCAUUUCCUGAUGUGUUGGAUGCGGGUUGUGAGAAAAGAGAGGAAUCAAGGAUGAGAACAAGGUUGUUCUGACUGACAACUGGAAGGACGGAGUUGCAAUCAACUGAUUUAUGAAACAUUCUGGGAGCAAUGUGUUUGAAGGUUUUUAAUCAACUUCCUGAGGGCUGUGACUGGGAAGAAGGAGCCAUGACAAUCUGGGAAAGCGCAGGCUCUGUACUCUGGUCCGCCAUCUGCGUGAGGACUGAAGUGGCUACAGCUUCUGCCUUG
Long non-coding RNA from Hippopotamus amphibius kiboko, 478 nucleotides. RefSeq lists it as uncharacterized. NCBI's taxonomy places the organism in Eukaryota, Metazoa, Chordata, Mammalia, Artiodactyla, Hippopotamidae. The record is from RefSeq and is a predicted model, not a curated record. The transcript has 4 exons.